RNAcentral lists this ribosomal RNA (253 nucleotides) under uncultured bacterium. RNAcentral describes it as "partial 16S ribosomal RNA". It matches the Rfam family "Bacterial small subunit ribosomal RNA", at positions 524 to 776 of the family's 1533-position model. The record is from RNAcentral.
GACGGAAGGUGCAAGCGUUGCUCGGAAUCACUGGGCGUAAAGGGUGCGUAGGCGGCCGUGCAAGUCUGGCGUGAAAGCCCCGGGCUCAGCCCGGGAAGUGCGCUCGAAACUGCGCGGCUCGAGUGCCGGAGGGGAGAGUGGAAUUCCUGGUGUAGCGGUGAAAUGCGCAGAUAUCAGGAGGAACACCUGUGGCGAAAGCGGCUCACUGGACCAUAACUGACGCUGAUGCACGAAAGCUAGGGGAGCAAACAGG